AGCAGCCGCGGUAAUUCCAGCUCCGAUAGCGUAUAUUAAAGUUGUUGCAGUUAAAAGCUCGUAGUUGAAUUUCGGGAUCAAAGGAUCGGUCAUGCCUUGGUAUGUACUGGUUUUAUUGGUUCUCACCUUCUAAAGAACCAUAAUGUCAUUCAUUUGAUGUUAUGGGGAAUUAGGACUGUUACCUUGAAAAAUUAGAGUGUUUAAAGCAGGCUUACGCUUGAAUACAUUAGCAUGGAAUAAUGAAAUAGGACAUCAGAUUCUAUUUUGUUGGUUUCUAGGAUCGAUGUAAUGAUUAAUAGGGAUAGUUGGGGGCAUUAGUAUUCAAUUGUCAGAGGUGAAAUUCUUGGAUUUAUUGAAGACUAACUACUGCGAAAGCAUUUGCCAAGGAUGUU
RNAcentral lists this unclassified non-coding RNA (392 nucleotides) under uncultured Glomus. RNAcentral describes it as "SSU rRNA". It matches the Rfam family "Eukaryotic small subunit ribosomal RNA", at positions 569 to 968 of the family's 1831-position model. The record is from RNAcentral. Lineage: Eukaryota; Fungi; Glomeromycota; Glomeromycetes; Glomerales; Glomeraceae.